This 236-nucleotide transfer-messenger RNA is filed under the name Citrobacter freundii. It matches the Rfam family "transfer-messenger RNA". From Rfam's summary of the family: Bacterial tmRNA, also known as 10Sa RNA or SsrA, is named for its dual tRNA and mRNA-like properties. Its role is to liberate the mRNA from a stalled ribosome. Lineage: Bacteria; Pseudomonadati; Pseudomonadota; Gammaproteobacteria; Enterobacterales; Enterobacteriaceae. The record is from RNAcentral.
GGGGCUGAUUCUGGAUUCGACGGGAUUCGCGAAACCCAAGGUGCAUGCCGAGGGGCGGUUGGCCUCGUAAAAAGCCGCAAAAAAAUAGUCGCAAACGACGAAAACUACGCUUUAGCAGCUUAAUAACAGUGGCGUGUCUGUCCGCAGGUGCCAGGCGAAUGUAAAGACUGACUAAGCAUGUAGUGCCGAGGAUGUAGGAAUUUCGGACGCGGGUUCAACUCCCGCCAGCUCCACCA